AACGAGACCUUAACCUGCUAAAUAGCCGGGCUAGCUUUGGCUGGUCCCCGGCUUCUUAGAGGGACUUUCGGCUCAAGCCGAAGGAAGUUUGAGGCAAUAACAGGUUAACCUACACAGGCCUGUAACAGUGGGCCUCUUUAAAGAUAACUGCUAGUCCAACAUCUUGACCCUCUCGGGGAAGUCCCCUACUGUCGGGAGAGGGCAGGCUACGGCCUGUGAUGUGGGCGACACCACCUGGUACAGGGAACGCC
Molecule: ribosomal RNA, 251 nt
Filed under: Phaeosphaeriaceae sp.
Lineage: Eukaryota; Fungi; Ascomycota; Dothideomycetes; Pleosporales; Phaeosphaeriaceae
Description: partial small subunit ribosomal RNA
Rfam family: Eukaryotic small subunit ribosomal RNA (bases 1-105)
Source: RNAcentral